Long non-coding RNA from Apis florea (little honeybee), 521 nucleotides. RefSeq lists it as uncharacterized. The record is from RefSeq and is a predicted model, not a curated record. Lineage: Eukaryota; Metazoa; Arthropoda; Insecta; Hymenoptera; Apidae.
UAUACACAUUCAUGACAUGUAAAGAUGUGAAAACCUAAAAUGAAAGAGUGGGAGAAGAAAUAGGAACGGAAGAAAAAAGAGAAGGAAGGUUGAAGCGUGAACGUGGAAUGACGGGAAAUGCGGCGCGUUGCAAAUCGUGGUGGGGUAUAUAAGAUAGCAAUGGCCGCUCCCGUGCGUAUAAACAUGAAAAAUGACAGAUCGCAUUAAUUCUAUACAUGAAAUUAGUCAAAUGUUUAAUAAACAAGAUUUAAAAAGACAUAUAUAAUAAAGUUUUCACGGUGAUCCGGCCGGUGAUCGUUUUGUCAAUGUAUGCCGCCAUCUUGGAUCGCGGGAAUCAUCAAGAACGGCGCGAAAGACGCACAGCAAGAAAGCAACUUACUCGUGUUAUAGACAUGAAGCUCAUCAACAAUGCCCUCAUUUCCACCGCCGAAAACGACCAUAAGGUCCUUAAGAGCAACUGCCCUAUGUCCAUGUCUGGGUCUUGGCUGAGGUCCGGACGGAUUUGUGAUUCGCUUCCACUU